This 1555-nucleotide ribosomal RNA is filed under the name Lactiplantibacillus plantarum. Its description in RNAcentral is "Lactobacillus plantarum 16S ribosomal RNA". It matches the Rfam family "Bacterial small subunit ribosomal RNA". The record is from RNAcentral. Lineage: Bacteria; Bacillati; Bacillota; Bacilli; Lactobacillales; Lactobacillaceae.
AGAGUUUGAUCCUGGCUCAGGACGAACGCUGGCGGCGUGCCUAAUACAUGCAAGUCGAACGAACUCUGGUAUUGAUUGGUGCUUGCAUCAUGAUUUACAUUUGAGUGAGUGGCGAACUGGUGAGUAACACGUGGGAAACCUGCCCAGAAGCGGGGGAUAACACCUGGAAACAGAUGCUAAUACCGCAUAACAACUUGGACCGCAUGGUCCGAGCUUGAAAGAUGGCUUCGGCUAUCACUUUUGGAUGGUCCCGCGGCGUAUUAGCUAGAUGGUGGGGUAAUGGCUCACCAUGGCAAUGAUACGUAGCCGACCUGAGAGGGUAAUCGGCCACAUUGGGACUGAGACACGGCCCAAACUCCUACGGGAGGCAGCAGUAGGGAAUCUUCCACAAUGGACGAAAGUCUGAUGGAGCAACGCCGCGUGAGUGAAGAAGGGUUUCGGCUCGUAAAACUCUGUUGUUAAAGAAGAACAUAUCUGAGAGUAACUGUUCAGGUAUUGACGGUAUUUAACCAGAAAGCCACGGCUAACUACGUGCCAGCAGCCGCGGUAAUACGUAGGUGGCAAGCGUUGUCCGGAUUUAUUGGGCGUAAAGCGAGCGCAGGCGGUUUUUUAAGUCUGAUGUGAAAGCCUUCGGCUCAACCGAAGAAGUGCAUCGGAAACUGGGAAACUUGAGUGCAGAAGAGGACAGUGGAACUCCAUGUGUAGCGGUGAAAUGCGUAGAUAUAUGGAAGAACACCAGUGGCGAAGGCGGCUGUCUGGUCUGUAACUGACGCUGAGGCUCGAAAGUAUGGGUAGCAAACAGGAUUAGAUACCCUGGUAGUCCAUACCGUAAACGAUGAAUGCUAAGUGUUGGAGGGUUUCCGCCCUUCAGUGCUGCAGCUAACGCAUUAAGCAUUCCGCCUGGGGAGUACGGCCGCAAGGCUGAAACUCAAAGGAAUUGACGGGGGCCCGCACAAGCGGUGGAGCAUGUGGUUUAAUUCGAAGCUACGCGAAGAACCUUACCAGGUCUUGACAUACUAUGCAAAUCUAAGAGAUUAGACGUUCCCUUCGGGGACAUGGAUACAGGUGGUGCAUGGUUGUCGUCAGCUCGUGUCGUGAGAUGUUGGGUUAAGUCCCGCAACGAGCGCAACCCUUAUUAUCAGUUGCCAGCAUUAAGUUGGGCACUCUGGUGAGACUGCCGGUGACAAACCGGAGGAAGGUGGGGAUGACGUCAAAUCAUCAUGCCCCUUAUGACCUGGGCUACACACGUGCUACAAUGGAUGGUACAACGAGUUGCGAACUCGCGAGAGUAAGCUAAUCUCUUAAAGCCAUUCUCAGUUCGGAUUGUAGGCUGCAACUCGCCUACAUGAAGUCGGAAUCGCUAGUAAUCGCGGAUCAGCAUGCCGCGGUGAAUACGUUCCCGGGCCUUGUACACACCGCCCGUCACACCAUGAGAGUUUGUAACACCCAAAGUCGGUGGGGUAACCUUUUAGGAACCAGCCGCCUAAGGUGGGACAGAUGAUUAGGGUGAAGUCGUAACAAGGUAGCCGUAGGAGAACCUGCGGCUGGAUCACCU